This is a long non-coding RNA of Aedes albopictus (Asian tiger mosquito), 728 nucleotides long. RefSeq lists it as uncharacterized. The transcript has 3 exons. The record is from RefSeq and is a predicted model, not a curated record. NCBI's taxonomy places the organism in Eukaryota, Metazoa, Arthropoda, Insecta, Diptera, Culicidae.
AAUGCCAAGGGGCGUUUCACUCGAGAUGCAUUUCAUAUAUCAAACAAAUUAAAUGCAUUUUAAUACAUUAAAUGUACAUUUUAAUGCAUUUUGUUAGCGUGUACCUCCCAUCGCUCUCACCAAUACAAAUGCAUGUAUGAGUAAAUAUGGAAAUGUCAAAUUUUGCCGCGCGGAGUGCUAAAAAAAUGAAAAAAAAAAUCCGAUUGGGACAACAUUAGUGAAUUUUGCUAGAUAGUUGAGCAAAACACGGUGAAAUAAGACCGUUUUCAUUCUAGAUGAUUCGAGCCACACGCACGGAUCACUGGACGGCUCUCUGUACGCGACCAUCCUCAACACCCGAGAUCUCCUACCAGAGUUGGAGACGGUGGACAAACGGCCCUGAUCUCACUGCCGUCCGGAACGGAACGGAAAUCCGAUCGCGAACGGACACCAUCGUCCGUUGCCACCAGUAAUGCCUCCACCGCUGAGUUCCUUGGCCCUAAACUCGGUGAGUUAAGCGGGAAACGCAAUGGGGCCGGCAACGGAAUGCGGAAGCGCUGCGUUGUACAUAUAUGCUAACCGUGGCUAUGCUAACCACCUACAAUCUAAUUUUCAACAUAUAUGGAUCAUCCCGAAACGCAUGCUGCUUUUAUAAAUAUUAUUACAAUUAUUGUGAAAUUAUUAUUAUCAAUAAACAACUAUGUAGGGCUUGGGAGGGAAGGGGUGAUUGCGUUGCUGGGCUGUUUUAA